GAUGAAGAACGUAGCGAAAUGCGAUAAGUAAUGUGAAUUGCAGAAUUCAGUGAAUCAUCGAAUCUUUGAACUCACAUUGCGCCCCUUGGUAUUCCGAGGGGCAUGCCUGUUCGAGCGUCAUUAUAACCCCUCAAGCUCAGCUUGGUAUUGGGGCCUGCCAUCCUGGCAGCCCUUAAAAUCAGUGGCGGUGCCAUCCGGCUCUAAGCGUAGUAACUCCUCUCGCUAUGGAGUCCUGGUGGAUGCUUUGCCAUUAAUCUUUUAACUUCUAUGGUUGACCUCGGAUCAGGUAGGGAUACCCGCUGAACUUAAGCAUAUCAAUAAGCGGAGGA
This 329-nucleotide unclassified non-coding RNA is filed under the name soil metagenome. Its description in RNAcentral is "partial contains 5.8S ribosomal RNA, internal transcribed spacer 2, and large subunit ribosomal RNA". The stretch from base 1 to 120 matches the Rfam family "5.8S ribosomal RNA", at positions 35 to 154 of the family's 154-position model. The record is from RNAcentral.